This is a long non-coding RNA of Fopius arisanus, 688 nucleotides long. RefSeq lists it as uncharacterized. NCBI's taxonomy places the organism in Eukaryota, Metazoa, Arthropoda, Insecta, Hymenoptera, Braconidae. The record is from RefSeq and is a predicted model, not a curated record. The transcript is spliced from 3 exons.
UCCAGCUUCCUUCCCCCCUGCCUCAUCGAGGGUGAAAAAUCAUUCUCCGGGAUUCUUUGAUCAACAUUGUGGCCUCUAAAUAAUCCACUCUGCCAGCCCAGCUUAACCACCAGAGAUUGUCUUUAAUAGAAUUACACAUUUUCUUCCUAUAAAUUCUCAUAUUUUCUGAUCAGUAAAAACGGGAUUUUAUUAUUGGGCAGUCUAAUUUUUGAAUGAAUUUCUCCCGGUGUGACCUGUUCUCGGGAAAAUUUUAUUGAGGAAGUGGCACAAUCGUCGGAUCCAUGACGAAAAUUGCCCAAAACACGGUCAUUGUCCGGAAGCGGUAAAAAGUCACCAAUAAAAAAGAACACGACCACAAUUACACGGCGCAACACGAAGAAAAAAAAAAUACCGGAGAGAGACGAGAGAUGUUACUCACCUCGAUUGAAUCCCUUUUCUGGAUUGACCGGAUGUUUAAGGUAUUGUCCCAUGCGAAAAAGCGGUGUCACCCCGGAGGGAUGUGUUCCAAUUCAUUGUCUGGCAUUUAGGAAGGCGAAAGCUCCCGUCGAAGCCGGAAAAUUCUCUGGCAUUGUCGAGACGUGUAAAAAGGAAACUAUCGAAGCGAGGAUUUUAUUGCGAUUGGAUAAUGAAAUGAAUCGCGAAGUGGAAAAAUGAAAACUUGCGGGGGUACAUUAUGAACUUUCCCGAG